CCAGCACAUGCUUAUUUAGCAGUCAACAAUACAAACAGCUUACAAACUUAAUUUGCUUUAUUAUGAGCUUAUUUUUUCGUUUAGAUUAAGUGGCCGAGUUUAAGAAUUCCUUUUCUAUUAAAAUGCAAAACAUUGAAGUUAAUGGAACCAAUCUUGGGGCCUUGCUCGACUCUGGGAGUGAUUAGACACUGGUACACAGGAAAUACCACCCAACAUUGUCAGCAACAGUGACACCAUCCCAUCUGUUGUGUUCAUGGAGACAAGAAGCCUUAUCCAACAGCAUGUAUGGUAGAAGGGCAGACUUGCGUUUUGAACAUUGAGGUUUCUGAUAAUCUGCCUUUUGAUGCUGUUCUAGAAAGAGACCUACCAGUUCUUUUUGAUUUGUUGGAGCCAGAACAAAGCAGAAAGUGUAGCGCUGUGGUAACCAGAAUGCAAUCCAGUGAGCCCUCUGCAAUUCUCAGGGCCCUGCCCUUUUUCAAUGAGGAGGUUGGAGACCACACCUGGGAAGUCUUGGGAAAACCCACAGACAGAGAAGGCUGGAGAAAUUCCAAAAGACAGUGGUGACAACGUCAACCAGCACUGAGCCACUAGGGUUUCAAGUUCCAGGUAAUAGAAGUGAUAUGUAGAAAACUGAUCAAUCUUUCGUCUCUCUUUUCCAGAAGGAGAAGGAGCCGGAGGCUGAGCUGGACAUCAUAAAUGAUGAGUAUAUCGUGCAAAAUGGCAUCCUCUAUCGUCAGCGUUGCAGCUUGUGGUUCCCCAAGCAACUAGAAACACUGGCCUGGCCUGCGCAGAGAUGUUGCUUAGUUCUGUGAAAGUUGUCCUCAGUGCCAAAUAACAUCUGCUAAAACAACCCCCAGGGCUCCACUUCCACCGCUACCAAUUAUUGGCAGCCCAUUUGAGCACCUUGGGGUGGACAUUGUUGGUCCUGUUGAGAGAAGCAAAGCAGGAAACUGUUAUAUGCUGGUUAUAACAGACUAUGCUAUCAAGUAUCCAGAAGUCUUUCCACUAAAAUCCAUACCUCUGUUUGGUACAAUUCUUCUUUUGGACAUGAAGUGAAGGGCUGUAGGCAAUGUUGAGAGCUCUGGGAGGGUGGGAUCUGUUAAUGUUGUAUCUAUGUCAUCCAGAUCAGAGAGCGGCUGGAGAAAAUGGGUGAGCUGGCCCAAUUGCACAUGUGCGGACGCCCUGCAGCAACAGAAGUCCUAGUACGACAAGUCAGCCAGACAGAGAUCCUUUGACCCAGGACAGGAAGUGCUGGUGCUCCUACUUGGUGAUGACAACAUACGUUGGCUAAAUGGCAAGGACCGUUCCACAUCCUAAAGAAACUUGGGUCAACUACAUACCAGGUAUAAACACCAGGGCACUCACGCUCCAGUAGGGUACUACACAUAAAUCUCUUUAAGAGAGUGGGUGUAGUGACCUGGAAGGGGGGGGGGAAUAGAUAUGAUGCUACUAAGUGUGCUGGAUGAAGAAGAGGUGGAUGCACAAUACUUACCUCUCUAGUGACCUCUCAGACGGCCCAAGGUUUCAGGUGAGAGCCACCUGUAAUUCAGAAGUUUUCAAGGACAAUCCUGGGGGAACAAAUAUUGUUAAACAUGACAUUGUUGUUAAAGAAGGUGCUCUUGUGAGAAGUUACAGGAUCCCCGAGGGCCUGUUGGCCUCACUGAGGAGGGAGGUUAUCCUGAUGCUGUUCCUGGGAUCAUUGAGUGGUGUAACCUAAUGAUGCUCCUACCAAAGAAGGAUGGAAGCAUAAGCAUCUGCAUUGAUUUCAGGUACCUGAAAUGCAUUUCUUCAUUUGAUUCCUAUCCAACACCAAGAAUUGAUUAACUGCUUGAAAGCCUUCAGGACACCAUGGGGCCCUUUCCAGUUCACAGUAAUGCCAUUUGGGUUGCACGGCGCUCCAGCAACUUUCCGGAGACUCAUGGACCAGAGAUUAGUACCUGGGCCACGUCAUCAGCAAUGGGGUUGUGCAUCCUCAGGUCAACAAAACCCAGGCCAUAGAGUCCUGUCCCCUGCCACGAACAACGCAGCGCCGAUCCUUUUUGUACUAUCCGGCUUCAUCAUCGCUUCAUACCGCAUUUCUCCAACAGGGCAGCUCUACUCACAGACUUGACUAGAUCCCGGAGGCCCAAUCAGAUCCAGUGGACAGAGCAGGCAGUGGCAGCUUUCAGUGAUAUCCAGCAAUCACAAAGGGUUUGGGAGCUGUGUUACUCCAGGACCUCUGAAUGAUUGGCAUCCAGUCGCCUACAUCAGCUGGAAACUGUUCCCCAGAGAGGUUCGGUAUUCGGCGGUGGUGAAGGAGGCACUGGCUAUUAAGUGGGCCAUUGAUUCCUUCCGAUACUAACAUCUUGGUUGAGCGUUCACCCUGGAGACAGAUCACAAGGCCUGUUUGGCUUUGGUAGAGAAACUAUCCAGUGGUGAUAAGCAAACGUACCACGAGCUCCUCACACCGAAAUACGAGGGUUUUGAAGGAUUAUUCUCUGAAUGGUAUUAUGUUUUUAUCAACAAGGAUAUACAAUGCGUUUCUACUCAAAGGAUGGGUUUUUCCACAUUUCAAUUCAUGCAAGGGCAAAGGUCGAGACAGGUAUCAAAGAUUUUAUUUUUUUAAUCGAAGCCUCAUUGUUGACCAAAUUAAACAUUAAUUCCUGUCAUCAUAGAUGUAGGAUCUUUGAAAGAGGUUAGUUGAGACCUUCUUCUGUUAGUGUGCUCAUUUUUAUUUUAUGAUAAGCAGAAUUUUAAUCCCACCUCUCCACACACUCAGCUCCAGUCUCAAUUAAAGAAACUUCUGCUCGUCCAAGGUUUACCACGAUGACGGCUGCAGUACAGUGACUGUUCAGUCUGGGUCAUGGAAUCCACCUGGUGAUCGGGGAGUGACGGUGGUGGUGGAAAAUCUCCUGUAUGUUGACAGUGAGGACACUGAGUCUUUCCUGGUCAUGAUUCACUGCUGGUCAGAUCUCCUGUCUCGUCCAGACAAAAAUAAGCAUGAUGCAAUCAUAAAACCAUCCCCUGCAAUCCCUGGGCCGUCUGUGACAAUUUCUGCUCCCUGCCCUGUUUGAUAUUGUUAGUUCUGUUACACUCGUUGUUUUUAUAAAAUAAAUAUUAGUUAUUCAUGUUUGUUUGAAGUAUUUUUUAUUUUUAAAAGUUCUGUUAAAUAUAAAGAUGUAUGCCAGUUUUCUCUAAGUCUAUGAAUAUUGUCUUCGGUGGUCAAACUGUCUGCAAUAUAAGGGUCAACCAAA
Molecule: non-coding RNA, 3233 nt
Organism: Labrus bergylta (ballan wrasse)
Lineage: Eukaryota; Metazoa; Chordata; Actinopteri; Labriformes; Labridae
Source: RefSeq, a predicted model, not a curated record